RNAcentral lists this ribosomal RNA (302 nucleotides) under uncultured bacterium. Its description in RNAcentral is "bacterial SSU rRNA". It matches the Rfam family "Bacterial small subunit ribosomal RNA", at positions 28 to 320 of the family's 1533-position model. The record is from RNAcentral.
GAUGAACGCUAGCGGCAGGCUUAAUACAUGCAAGUCGAGGGGCAGCAUGGGGGUGUAGCAAUACACUCUGAUGGCGACCGGCAAACGGGUGCGGAACACGUACACAACUUACCCUAGACUGGGGGAUAGCCUUCCGAAAGGGAGAUUAAUACCUCAUAGGAUCGUAGAGUGGCAUCACUUAGCGAUUAAAGCUCAGGCGGUUUAGGAUGGGUGUGCGGCUGAUUAGGUAGUUGGCGGGGUAACGCCCACCAAGCCUGCGAUCAGUAACUGGGUGUGAGAGCACGACCAGUCACACGGGCACU